RNAcentral lists this long non-coding RNA (613 nucleotides) under Citrus x clementina. Its description in RNAcentral is "Citrus clementina (C. clementina) long non-coding RNA (CCLE_LNC004810)". The record is from RNAcentral. Lineage: Eukaryota; Viridiplantae; Streptophyta; Magnoliopsida; Sapindales; Rutaceae.
UUUUUGUGGCCUUUUUCCGCUGGACGAACUUGACGUCCCGGCUUUCGGGCGGUUAUUUUUGGGUGCGGUUUGCCCGCGGCCUAUUUUUUGCACACGGAGGCCCCUCGCAAAGUCUCGCGGCAUUCCGAGUCCGGCGGACGAAUCUGGCCAGCCCCACCCCCCAAGGCUAUAGCCCACCCGUUUUUGUGGCCUUUUUCCGCUGGACGAACUUGGCGCCCCGGCCUUCGGGCGGUUAUUUUUAGGCGUGCUUUGCCCGCGGAUUAUUUAUGGCACACGGAGAUCCCUUGCAAAGUCACGCGGCAUUCCGAGUCCGGCGGACGAAGUUGGCCAGCCCCACCACCCAAGGUUAUAGCCCACCCGUUUUUGUGGCCUUUUUCCGCCGGACGAACUUGACGCCCCGGCCUUCGGGAGUUAUUUUUGGGCGCGCCUUUGCCUGUGGCCUAUUUUUGGCACAUGGAGACCCCUCGCUAAGUCUCGCGGCAUUCUGAGUCCGGCGGACGAAGUUGGCCAGCCCCACUCCCCAAGGCUAUAGCCCACCCGUUUUUGUGGCCUUUUUCCGCUGGACGAACUUGGCGCCCCGGCCUUCGGGCGGUUAUAUUUUUGUGCGGCUUUG